This 1644-nucleotide ribosomal RNA is filed under the name Triticum aestivum (bread wheat). RNAcentral's name for it is "partial small subunit ribosomal RNA". The record is from RNAcentral. Lineage: Eukaryota; Viridiplantae; Streptophyta; Magnoliopsida; Poales; Poaceae.
AUGAUGGCAGAAUUUGAUCCUGUAAUGCAAGAGCAUCUUCGGCGCAUUAAGAAUAGUGAAAUCCAUCAUCAUUAUCAUGGCCAUAAUAUUCAGAAUGAGUUAAUUUCCCUUCUUGGUCGCACUGUUAAAUAUUCUCUGUUGAGGAUAAUUAAGGAUGCAAGGUAUUUCUCUGUCAUCUUGGACUGUACACCUGACGUGAGCCAUCAAGAACAAAUGACUCUAAUUGUGAGGUGCGUAAACAUGUCAAGUACUACUACAAAAAUAGAGGAGUUUUUUCUGGAGUUCUUGAAGGUGGAUGAUACAUCCGGACUUGGACUUUAUAACGUGUUAAUAGAUUCACUUAAAUCUGUUGGUUUGGAUGUUAAAGAUGUUCGUGGACAAGGGUAUGACAAUGGUUCGAACAUGAAAGGAAAACACCAAGGGGUACAGAGCAGACUACUUGAAACUAAUCCAAGAGCAUUAUUCAUGCCAUGCGCUUGUCAUAGCCUGAACCUUACUCUUAGUGAUAUGGCAAAAUCUUGCGGUAAAGCUGUUACCUUCUUUGGUGUUGUGCAAAGAAUUUAUAUAUUGUUUUCAAGCUCUACUAAAAGAUGGCAGCUAUUGCUUGAUCAUGUUCCAAAAAUGACAGUUAAGUCUUUGUGUAACACUCGAUGGGAGAGUCGAAUAAAGAGUGUUCAGGCUAUCAGAUAUCAAGCACCCGAGUUAAGAAAAGCAUUACUGGAAUUGAAGAGAACUUCUACCGAUGACGCCAAGACUAAGAGCGACGCAAAAUCUUUGGCUAGCGCACUUGAGAAAUUUGAAUUUUUACUUGGCAUGGUCAUUUGGCAUGACAUUUUGUUCACUGUAAACAUGGUGAGUAAGAAGUUGCAGUCUAAGUUUGUGUGCAUUGAUGUUACUCUUAAACAGAUUGAAGGUGCCAUCUCAUAUUUUAAGAAGUACAGAAAUGACGGCUUUGCAACUAGUCUGGAUAUUGCGAGAUCUAUUGCAAUUGACAUGGGUGUACAACCUUUGUUUCCUGUCAAGAGACGUAUUACUAGAAAAAGACAGUUUGAUGAAAUUAGUGGCAAUGACGAAAAUAACCAGAAUGAAGAAACGCAAGCAAUUAAAUACUUUUUGGUGAUGAUUGAUGUUGCAAUUGCUUCCCUAACUACUAGAUUUGAGGAACUGAAGACAUUUGGGAGCAUAUUUGGUUUCUUGUUCAACUCGAAAGAGUUGAAGUCCUUGGGUGAUAAUGAUCUAAGAAGAUGUUGCACUAAUUUUGUCAACAAAUUCACUCAUGGUAAGUCAGCAGAUGUCGAUCUAGAUGAUUUUGUUUCUGAACUAAAAGUACUGCAGAUGACAUUGCCAAACACAUUCAUGUCAGCGGAUCAGAUAUUUGAGUUUGUUAGAGAUGCGGAUUGUUAUCUAAAUGUCUCAAUUGAUUAUCGUAUCCUUUUGACCGUACCUGUGACUGUUGCAUCAGCUGAAAGGAGUUUCUCAAAAUUGAAACUAUUGAAAAAUUAUUUGAGGUCAACGAUGUCUCAAGAAAGAUUGAAUGGAUUGGCCAUGUGCUGCAUUGAGAAGAAUAUGCUAGAUAGUAUUGAUCUUGACACUCUCAUUGAUGAUUUUGCAUCAAAAAAUGCACGAAAGUCUCGUUUCACAUGA